CUGAAGUUUAGUUUCUCUUUGUUUUGCCAUUUAGACUGCAUGAGAAGCAAUUAUUUAGAUCAGAUAAAAAAAAGUGUUGAUGCUUAAGUUCAUUGAAACACUGAACCAAUUGAUCCAAAUGAGGUUGAGGAUUAUUAUACAGUCAUUAAAGAGCCUAUGGAUUUUGCAACCAUGAGGGCUAAACUACAUGAAGGGAUGUAUAAGACUCUAGAACAAUUUGAGGUUUGCAUCUUUCAUUUUAUUUCACAUGCUCAUGUUAUCUAUCAGUAUCAAUUAGCAGACAUGUAUGCAUAAUAUUUGAACCAUCUAACACAUGAUAUUUGAACCAUUAUACAACAUGACAUGUUUCUAAUAUUCAACAAUGCUCUUCUAUUUCAUUUUGCUAUUGAUUCUUGAGAGCUUGAAGAACCAUUGGAUCAUAUUCACAUGAUUGAUUAUUUUUUAGUAUGGGCCAUGUUUAGGAUAGUGUGCAACACUGCAUGAGGCUGAGAUCUAUAUCAUGACAACCAUAUAAGGGAGCUCCCAUCACUGACACCGGCACAUAGAGAGGCAAAAAAUUGAAGACAUUGUAACACCACACGUGAUCCUGUGUAAAGUGAGCUUUUCUUAUAAUCGUUGUCUUUAUUUUGUUUUCUCCUGUGCAAAUUAUAUGUGUCGGCACCUCAGUUGCAGAUUUGUGUGAAAAUGUUGUUGACGAUGAAUAUUUGGAUUGAUAGAUAGAUACAUGCAAAUGGUGUUAAUUUCUUUUUUUUAUUUCUUUCUUUCUGCAUAUGCAAUUGAAGGACAUGAUGCUGAAGUUUUCUGGCUCUUCCAAGCAAUCAUCAAGAUCUGGACCAGGUUCAAGUUCAAGAGGAAUGGGACCAAUAGAGAAUCCUGAGAACACUGUGGCAGAAGGGGUUCAAUACCCUGACAUGGGAGGAGUUGGUUCAGCCUCUGCCCGUGCUUGGGAACACAGGACCUCCUUGAAAAAUUUUCAGGUGUAAGCACCAUUUGGUUUAUGUAUAAUGCUGAUUUGUGGUGAUGAAAGUGGCUCCCUUGGCUGUGGAAUUGGUACUCUUAUUGAUUGCUGCGAUCCUCCAUUGCCAGAAGUUCCUGAGGACGAUUGAUUCUGUCCAAAGUGCAGUAGCACCCAAAACU
Lotus japonicus is the source of this 1137-nucleotide long non-coding RNA. RefSeq lists it as uncharacterized. The record is from RefSeq and is a predicted model, not a curated record. The transcript has 3 exons. Lineage: Eukaryota; Viridiplantae; Streptophyta; Magnoliopsida; Fabales; Fabaceae.